RNAcentral lists this ribosomal RNA (253 nucleotides) under uncultured bacterium. Its description in RNAcentral is "partial 16S ribosomal RNA". It matches the Rfam family "Bacterial small subunit ribosomal RNA", at positions 524 to 776 of the family's 1533-position model. The record is from RNAcentral.
UACGUAGGGGGCAAGCGUUGUCCGGAAUCAUUGGGCGUAAGAGCGUGUAGGCGGCCAGAUAAGUCCGCUGUGAAAUCUCGAGGCUCAACUUCGAGCUGUCGGUGGAAACUGUCUGGCUAGAGUCCGGAAGAGGAGAAUGGAAUUCCUGGUGUAGCGGUGAAAUGCGCAGAUAUCAGGAAGAACACCCGUGGCGAAGGCGGUCUCUGGGACGGUACUGACGCUGAGAACGCGGAAAGCGUGGGGAGCGAACAGG